GUUCGGUGGAAACGAGAAUAAAGCGUGAAGGAUAACGUUGCGUCAGCAACGGCCCGUAGGGCGAGGCGAAGCCGAGUCAUCCUGCACGACCCACCG
Molecule: small RNA, 96 nt
Filed under: Salmonella enterica subsp. enterica serovar Senftenberg
Lineage: Bacteria; Pseudomonadati; Pseudomonadota; Gammaproteobacteria; Enterobacterales; Enterobacteriaceae
Also listed under: 4 other names
Description: partial RtT sRNA
Rfam family: RtT RNA
About the family: This family represents a bacterial cis-regulatory element known as RtT RNA.
Source: RNAcentral